This 237-nucleotide long non-coding RNA is filed under the name Elaeis guineensis (African oil palm). RNAcentral's name for it is "long non-coding RNA (EGUI_LNC014198)". The record is from RNAcentral. Lineage: Eukaryota; Viridiplantae; Streptophyta; Magnoliopsida; Arecales; Arecaceae.
AUAUAUGAAACUCUCUGAAUCAUUAUUCCUAAGGGAUCUUUUCAUUCAUAAUCACAAGGUUUAGUCAAAAAUCAAAAAGAUAACUUAUACUGCAAUCAUUAUAGAUCUAUACCCUGAUGUUUCUAGUGUCUACCCAUCUACACUCAUCCUAUAUUUGAUCCUAUAUGUCAUAAUUCAUCCACUAAUACUUUGAUGCUAUAUUAAUUAUUAUUCUUCCGACCUAAAAUCAUGAGCCAG